RNAcentral lists this microRNA precursor (58 nucleotides) under Ascaris suum (pig roundworm). RNAcentral's name for it is "Asu-Mir-791_pre stem-loop". Lineage: Eukaryota; Metazoa; Nematoda; Chromadorea; Rhabditida; Ascarididae. The record is from RNAcentral.
CUGGUCUGCUCCGUGUCCAAAGUUAUGUAUAGUCACUUUGGCACUCUCCAGGCCUGCA